Molecule: long non-coding RNA, 1675 nt
Organism: Labeo rohita (rohu)
Lineage: Eukaryota; Metazoa; Chordata; Actinopteri; Cypriniformes; Cyprinidae
Exons: 5
Source: RefSeq, a predicted model, not a curated record
AGAAACUAGACUCUCUCAAGCUGGAGAGAGAGAGCAUCAUAUCCACAGAGCGCGGGAGGGAAGGCAACUAGACAAUCGCAUGCGUGGUGUCAUAAAGUAAACCUCGCGUCUUCUCUCAGGUCCGUGCAUGAACACUGUAAGCAUGCUUUUCAAGGGAGGAAUUCCCCAUCUUGGAAAUUAAACUGCCUGUUCCGUUCUCUGGAUGGCUGAGACGCGACAUUCGAUGGCUGAAUACUCAAGGACUGCGAGUUCUGAAUGGAAAACGCAUCGCUGAAGAGAUGCACUGAAGAGUUUGGCUUUUGGCUAGAUGCUUCUGCGCUGCUCAGAGAUUUGAGCGUCAUGCUCUUUAACGCAAGACGCACGGGAACCUCUAUUUGUCCCCGACACACGGCCACUCGUAGCUUACUUUCUGACAGAGAGGAAUAUGCACGUCAAUUGUUAAAAGUCAACUUUAUGAGAUGUUCCACAUUUAAAAAACGUGUUGACAGGAGGUAGUUGCUAUCUUUGGUUAUCUAGCUGUAUGAGUGUUUAUCUGCCUUCAUAAAGCUAGAUAACCGAAAGUAGAAACGUCCUCCUUAACUGCAUAGUGGACAAGUUGGGAAGCAAUGAUCGCAGGGAACUGCAUGAGCAUCUCAAACUGCAGUGUCUUUGUGAGAGACCAGAGGACUGGAGCUAAGGGGAAAAACGCCAUCUGCAACUGCCAGCCAUUUACACUGCCUUUUUGGAGCAAGAGGGAGAGAGGAAAAAAUGGUGCAAUUGUCCAAAUGAAAGAAAAGAAAAAUAAUAGUCAACCCUCAUCCUUCUUCUACCAGCUCCCCUCCCUUCUUCGUCAACGGAAGCAUUUAGUGCCAUCUGUGCCCCCGGAGAAAAGAGGAAAAAAAGAAAGGAGUGAGACUCUACAUCCCAAGUGCCAAUGGGGACAAAGAGGCUGCCAGUUGCCACGGACCACCAGAUGCUGGAAGACUGCAAGUCUGAAUGAGGGGUGUGCUUUCAGGAAGCCAUCUUGAUGGAGAAACUGGCUGCUGCUCCCUAAAAUGGCUGUGUUGGCAUGAGGCUCCUGGCAGUGAAACUGUGAAAAAUUCCCAUCGUUGUCAUCAGCUGCUGGAGAAAUUGAGGUCAUCCUGCUAUGCUUGACUCAAAUGGUCAAUCACCUCAGGAAUCCAGUGUCCAGCAUCUCUUCCAGAUGGUUUGCUGUGAAAAUUAAACAAGCAGAUGAGGGACGAUUUAAAAUGUGCACUAAUUGAUUUAACUGGGUGUCUUAAAACCUUGCAGCCGUCAGUCACUAAUACUGGAUUGAUGUAUGGAUUUGGACUGUUCACCCAGUUUAAUCUUAGAUAUUAAAAAAAAGUGUUGUACAAUCUUAUCAGUGCUGUAUAAACUGAAAAUAAUGUGCCUUAAUGUGUGAAAAGUUUACAAUGAAAGUUAUUGAAACGUGUCUUAAUACUUGCAUUCCCUGUUUUAAAUAUUUUAAUGAACUUGCACAUCAGUCAUCAAUGUUUCAUGUUAUUACAUGUACAUGUUAUCUUGUUUAAUCCAUAUACUUUAUCUGGCUAUUGUAAGUAUGGAGUAUAAUACCAGAAUUAUGUUCAGUUUAUCUCUUGAUUAUCAUUUGUCUGGUUGUGAUGUAUGCAACAAACAUUUUAAACUGCACAAAUAAACAACAUUAAAGCAUUGA